RNAcentral lists this ribosomal RNA (374 nucleotides) under Paroedura bastardi. RNAcentral's name for it is "partial 12S ribosomal RNA". The record is from RNAcentral. Lineage: Eukaryota; Metazoa; Chordata; Lepidosauria; Squamata; Gekkonidae.
CGUGAACCAAGGCAAGAUACACACCGCUCCGUCACCCUCACACUUAUAGUCAAAAUUUUAAACUCAAAGGACUUGACGGUAUUGCAAAUCGCCCUAGAGGAGCCUGUCCAAUAAUCGAUAAUCCCCGUUUUACCUUACCCACUUUAGCCACCAACAGCCUAUAUACCGCCGUCGCAAACCUACCUUAUGAAAGUACCACCGUAGAUACAAUAGCCCGUCCCGCUAACACGUCAGGUCAAGGUGUAGCUUAUGAGUGGGACUCGAGAUGGGCUACACUCUCUCCAUGCCAGAGACUUUUUUCCCCUAAUGAAAGUGGGCUAAAUGCUGGAUUUAGCAGUAAACUGGACAAGAAAGUCAAGUUGAACCACGCACUG